GACGAACGCUGGCGGCGUGCCUAAUACAUGCAAGUUGAGCGAUGAAGAUUGGUGCUUGCACCAAUUUGAAGAGCAGCGAACGGGUGAGUAACGCGUGGGGAAUCUGCCUUUGAGCGGGGGACAACAUUUGGAAACGAAUGCUAAUACCGCAUAACAACUUUAAACAUAAGUUUUAAGUUUGAAAGAUGCAAUUGCAUCACUCAAAGAUGAUCCCGCGUUGUAUUAGCUAGUUGGUGAGGUAAAGGCUCACCAAGGCGAUGAUACAUAGCCGACCUGAGAGGGUGAUCGGCCACAUUGGGACUGAGACCCGGCCCCAACUCCUACGGGAGGCAGCAGUAGGGAAUCUUCGGAAAUGGACGAAAGUCUGACCGAGCAACGCCGCGUGAGGGAAGAAGGUUUUCGGAUCGUAAAACUCUGUUGGUAGAGAAGAACGUUGGUGAGAGUGGAAAGCUCAUCAAGUGACGGUAACUACCCAGAAAGGGACGGCUAACUACGUG
This 497-nucleotide ribosomal RNA is filed under the name uncultured bacterium. RNAcentral's name for it is "partial 16S ribosomal RNA". It matches the Rfam family "Bacterial small subunit ribosomal RNA", at positions 28 to 507 of the family's 1533-position model. The record is from RNAcentral.